CUGGUUGAUCCUGCCAGUAGUCAUAUGCUUGUCUCAAAGAUUAAGCCAUGCAUGUCUAAGUAUAAAUAACUACACAGUAAAACUGCGAAUGGCUCAUUAAAACAGUUAUAGUUUAUUUGAUACAUUAAAUGGAUAACUGUAGAAAAACUAGAGCUAAUACAUGCCAAAACCGCAAGGUUGUAUUUAUUAGAUAUACCAAUUAGGUGAAUCAUAAUAACUUCGCAAAUCGCAACAUCGUUGCGAUAAAUCAUUCAAGUUUCUGCCCUAUCAUGCUUUCGAUGGUAGUGUAUUGGACUACCAUGGCUCUCACGGGUAACGGGGAAUUAGGGUUCGAUUCCGGAGAAGGAGCCUGAGAAACGGCUACUACAUCUAAGGAAGGCAGCAGGCGCGUAAAUUACCCAAUCCUGACUCAGGGAGGUAGUGACAAGAUAUAACGACGCGACUAAAAAUCGCGAUUGUAGUGAGGGUAUUCUAAACACAGAGACCACUAGUACGAUUGGAGGGCAAGUCUGGUGCCA
This 518-nucleotide ribosomal RNA is filed under the name uncultured eukaryote. Its description in RNAcentral is "SSU rRNA". It matches the Rfam family "Eukaryotic small subunit ribosomal RNA", at positions 4 to 569 of the family's 1831-position model. The record is from RNAcentral.